This 330-nucleotide ribosomal RNA is filed under the name uncultured eukaryote. Its description in RNAcentral is "partial 18S ribosomal RNA". It matches the Rfam family "Eukaryotic small subunit ribosomal RNA", at positions 1470 to 1796 of the family's 1831-position model. The record is from RNAcentral.
CCCUUAGAUGUUCUGGGCCGCACGCGCGCUACACUGACGAAGUCAGCGAGCAUCUCCUACGCCGAAAGGUGCGGGGAAUCUUGUGAAACUUUGUUGUGCUGGGGAUUGAUUUUUGAAAUUCUUGAUCAUCAACGAGGAAUUCCUAGUAAGCGCAAGUCAGCAGCUUGCGUUGAUUACGUCCCUGCCCUUUGUACACACCGCCCGUCGCUACUACCGAUUGAAUGGUUUAGUGAGAUUUUUGGACUGGAACUCUCUUGUUCAGCAAUGAACGAGAGGGACUCUGGGAAGCUAUUCUAACUGUAUCAUUUAGAGGAAGUAAAAGUCGUAACA